AUUGAACGCUGGCUGCAUGCCUUACACAUGCAAGUCGAAUGGUAACGGGUCCUUCGGGAUGCCGACGAGUGGCGAACGGGUGAGUAAUAUAUCGGAACGUGCCCAGUAGUGGGGGAUAACUGCUCGAAAGAGCAGCUAAUACCGCAUACGACCUGAGGGUGAAAGGGGGGGAUCGCAAGACCUCUCGCUAUUGGAGCGGCCGAUAUCAGAUUGGCUAGUUGGUGGGGUAAAGGCCUACCAAGGCAACGAUCUGUAGUUGGUCUGAGAGGACGACCAGCCACCCUGGGACUGAGACACGGCCCAGACUCCUACGGGAGGCAGCAGUGGGGAAUUUUGGACAAUGGGCGCAAGCCUGAUCCAGCAAUGCCGCGUGCAGGAAGAAGGCCUUCGGGUUGUAAACUGCUUUUGUCAGGGAAGAAAAGCCCCGGGUUAAUACCCUGGGGUCAUGACGGUACCGUAAGGAUAAGCACCGGCUAACUACGUGCCAGCCGCCGCCGUAA
Molecule: ribosomal RNA, 500 nt
Filed under: uncultured bacterium
Lineage: Bacteria
Description: partial 16S ribosomal RNA
Rfam family: Bacterial small subunit ribosomal RNA
Source: RNAcentral